This 390-nucleotide unclassified non-coding RNA is filed under the name soil metagenome. RNAcentral describes it as "partial contains 5.8S ribosomal RNA, internal transcribed spacer 2, and large subunit ribosomal RNA". The stretch from base 1 to 122 matches the Rfam family "5.8S ribosomal RNA", at positions 35 to 154 of the family's 154-position model. The record is from RNAcentral.
GAUGAAGAACGUAGCGAAAUGCGAUACUUGGUGUGAAUUGCAGAAUCCCGUGAACCAUCGAGUCUUUGAACGCAAGUUGCGCCCGAAGCCACUAGGCCGAGGGCACGCCUGCCUGGGCGUCACACGUCGUUGCCCCCCACCAUCUACUCCUUCGGGAUUGCGGGGGGCGGAUGAUGGCCUCCCGUGCGCCUAGCCGCGCGGUUGGCAUAAAUACCAAGUCCUCGGCGACGCACGCCACGACAAUCGGUGGUUGCGAAACCUCGGUUGCCCGUCGUGUGCGUUCGUCGCGCAUCGAGGGCUCGAAAAAAUGCUCGGCUCCGGCUCGGCUUUCAACGCGACCCCAGGUCAGGCGGGGUUACCCGCUGAAUUUAAGCAUAUAAUAGCGGAGGA